UUUCCGAUUGAUCUUGUCGGUGGCUUUCCUUUAUCUUGAAGAUUAAGCCAUGCAUGUCUAAGUAUGAACUGGUUUAAGGUGAAACUGCGUACGGCUCAUUACAUCAGCUAUAACUUUCUUUGAUCAUAAAUUCUAAAUGGAAUAACCGAGGAAAAGCCUGGGCUAAUACAUGCGACAAUUCCGGUAGUAAUAUCGGAAUGCUUUUAUUAGAUCAAAACCUUCUAGUUCUUUAAACGGAACUGUUUGUUGGUGACUCUAAAUAACUUUGUGUUGAUCGUAUGACCUUUGUGUCGACGACAUAUCUUUCAAGUGUCUGACUUAUCAACUUUAGACGGUACAUUAUAUGUCUACCGUGGUUGUAACGAGUACAGAGAAUCAGGGUUUGGUUCUGGAGAGGCCGCCUGAGAAACGGCGACCACUUCCAAGGAAGGCAGCAGGCGCGCAAAUUA
Molecule: non-coding RNA, 449 nt
Filed under: Genlisea aurea
Lineage: Eukaryota; Viridiplantae; Streptophyta; Magnoliopsida; Lamiales; Lentibulariaceae
Description: Eukaryotic small subunit ribosomal RNA
Rfam family: Eukaryotic small subunit ribosomal RNA
Source: Rfam by way of RNAcentral